This 233-nucleotide long non-coding RNA is filed under the name Elaeis guineensis (African oil palm). Its description in RNAcentral is "long non-coding RNA (EGUI_LNC024578)". Lineage: Eukaryota; Viridiplantae; Streptophyta; Magnoliopsida; Arecales; Arecaceae. The record is from RNAcentral.
UUACUUUCCGAUGUUAAGCUCCCAGAUGAUGGCUCAAAUGAAAAAGAUUCUGAUGGGAAGCUAUUGGUCAUAGCCUUGUUUGGAUUAUACUGUGCAUUUCAUUGCAGGGCUCUGUCCUAUUACUCUUGGGUUAAUGCAUUAUUCUUCAACUCUCAGCUCCCACAUGAUGUUUCACUUGCCACCGAUACUAACGGGAGAGUGGGCGCUCAGUAUCCUAUUGUUACAAGCUCUCA